RNAcentral lists this ribosomal RNA (253 nucleotides) under uncultured bacterium. RNAcentral's name for it is "partial 16S ribosomal RNA". It matches the Rfam family "Bacterial small subunit ribosomal RNA", at positions 524 to 776 of the family's 1533-position model. The record is from RNAcentral.
UACAGAGGGUGCAAGCGUUGUUCGGAAUUACUGGGCGUAAAGCGCGUGUAGGCGGCCCGGCAAGUCGGAUGUGAAAGCCCUGGGCUCAACCCAGGAAGUGCAUUCGAAACUGCCAGGCUCGAGUACGGGAGAGGGAGGUGGAAUUCCCAGUGUAGAGGUGAAAUUCGUAGAUAUUGGGAGGAACACCGGUGGCGAAAGCGACCUCCUGGACCGAUACUGACGCUGAGACGCGAAAGCGUGGGGAGCAAACAGG